Long non-coding RNA from Felis catus (domestic cat), 1059 nucleotides. RefSeq lists it as uncharacterized. NCBI's taxonomy places the organism in Eukaryota, Metazoa, Chordata, Mammalia, Carnivora, Felidae. The record is from RefSeq and is a predicted model, not a curated record. The transcript has 3 exons.
CCAAUGGGAAGCUGGGGCCCCUGGACCACGUGCUGGUGUCUGAGUGUCGGUCUGGGGUGUCCCGGGUGGUAAGGGGCGGGAGGGACUGGGGGCUGGUCUUCAGGUGGCCGAGGCUGAGUUUCGCCAAGAGUGCUCCCCACCCACGCCCGGGUCCUGAGACUGGCACAGAGCAGGGUGACAGCACACAUGUGUGAAUCUCACCGUCGCCAGGUUUGGCUUGUAACCGAGAGUUCUCAGGCAGGAGGAGGUCCAAGAAACGCAGACACGAACGCACCUCAUGCAGACCAGGACGCUGAGUUCCCAGGACAGAUGCAUCCCUCACGUCUUACGACUCUGUCCCCUGGGGAUGGACAUCAGGCAGCCUCCAGCUCCCAGCCACUGCAGCCUUGGACAUGUCCCUUCAGAGACCUGUGUGGAAAUCUCCCUAGGAGAGAGACCUGGUUGCAGAGAUGCUGGAUCACAGGGCACAGUCCGUUGCUGUGUGGCGUCCUGGACUAGCUGCCCCCAGCCACACCUUCUGUCAGUGCAGAGGGUCCCAUGUACCCACAUCUCCGCCAGCUGUUAGCUUUAUCCAGCUUCUGAUUUUUACCACUCUGACUCGAUGUCAAGUGACGUCACCAUUGCUGUCUUUCACAUUUCUCUGAUUUCAGGUCACUUUGAGCAUCUCCUCAUUUGCUUGAUCGCCUUCAGUUUCUCCUCUUUUGUAAAUUGCCUGUUCAUAUUCUUUGCCCUGUUUGCACUUGGGUUGCUGUCUUUUACUCGUUGAUUUGCAUGUGCUCCUCCUAGAAUCUAGCUGUGCCCUGUCCCAUCCGAUCUGUCCUACACGAAAUCUCUGCUCUCCACAUGUAGGUAUGAGCACUUGAAAUACGGCAAAUACAAAUUGCGAUGUGCCGUAAGUGUAAAAUACACACCAGAUUUCGGAAACUUAGUACAAAGAAAAGAUGUAAAAAGAUGUAAAAGAUGUAAAAUAUCUCAUUAACUCAUUUUUAUUCUGUCUACGUUAUAAUAAUAAUAAUAAUGUGGAUGUAUUGGGCUGCAUAAAAUGUACUACUCAAAUUA